GGCAAAUAGUUUAUUACAUUUUUAAAGAAAACUGGAUUGUCUCUGCAUAUCAGGCCCCAUUUAUUAAAGUUUAAAGAACUUUAGAUAAAAACUGUACCCUCUGACAUCCAUCUAGUGGUCAACAGAAUGGCCCUGGGAAAAGGCAUGGUGAACAAAGUAAGAAAUUUAACAUAAACUGUACCUGGAUAAAUGAAAUUUAACAGGUGGGACAGAAAAGGCUCUAAACUGUUAAACACAAACCAGAUUAUCUCAAAUACUUUGUUGCUUCAAGGAAGGAUCAUUCAAAAUGGAGUACAGGCAAACUGAAAAGGCAAUAUAGUAUUGCUAUAUCAUAUAUAUCAUAUACUUUUACAUCUCAUAAAAAUAUCAAAUUGGAAUGGAAACUGAUUAUCUUAUUAAUUGUCUACAUUAAAUCCUAUUUAACAAUGUCCCUUUCUCUUCUAAACUAUAUCCUCUUACUUCCCUUGUUUUAUUGUUAUUAACUAAUUAUGUUUUCAGUCCAAUCAAGAUUAAUUAGCUUAGUACACAAAUAUAUUCAUGAAUAAAUAAUAUAUCUUUAAGACUUAAACAUACUUUUAAAAAUACAUUUUAAAAAAUUAUCAGCUGGUAAUAUUCUAAGAACUUUUUCUACCUGGUCAGUCCUC
RNAcentral lists this long non-coding RNA (644 nucleotides) under Bos taurus (domestic cattle). RNAcentral describes it as "long non-coding RNA NONBTAT019376". The record is from RNAcentral. Lineage: Eukaryota; Metazoa; Chordata; Mammalia; Artiodactyla; Bovidae.